This 449-nucleotide ribosomal RNA is filed under the name uncultured bacterium. Its description in RNAcentral is "bacterial SSU rRNA". It matches the Rfam family "Bacterial small subunit ribosomal RNA", at positions 355 to 825 of the family's 1533-position model. The record is from RNAcentral.
UGAGGAAUAUUGCACAAUGGGCGCAAGCCUGAUGCAGCGACGCCGCGUGGGUGAUGAAGGUCUUCGGAUCGUAAAGCCCUUUUUCUGCGUGACGAGACAGGACGGUAGCGCAGGAAUAAGUCUCGGCUAACUACGUGCCAGCAGCCGCGGUAAAACGUAGGAGACGAACGUUAUCCGGAGUUACUGGGCGUAAAGGGCGUGUAGGCGGUUUGUUAAGUCUGGCGUGAAAGCUCUCGGCUAAACCGGGAGAGGUCGUUGGAUACUGGCGAACUAGAGGAUGGUAGAGGCGUGUGGAAUUCCGGGUGUAGUGGUGAAAUGCGUAGAGAUCCGGAGGAACACCAGUGGCGAAGGCGACACGCUGGGCCAUACCUGACGCUAAAGCGCGACAGCAUGGGGAGCAAACGGGAUUAGAUACCCAAGUAGUCCCUGAGCGGGCUGGCAAGGCGCAU